RNAcentral lists this small RNA (68 nucleotides) under Bacillus sp. OV322. RNAcentral describes it as "Bacillaceae-1 RNA". It matches the Rfam family "Bacillaceae-1 RNA". Lineage: Bacteria; Bacillati; Bacillota; Bacilli; Caryophanales; Bacillaceae. The record is from RNAcentral.
CGGAGCGGAACAAAGACUAAGAACGCCGCGUCCUGCGGCAACGUCUUCAUGACCCCCAUCCCUGGGGG